RNAcentral lists this small RNA (2021 nucleotides) under Pan troglodytes (chimpanzee). RNAcentral's name for it is "retained intron". The stretch from base 1921 to 1983 matches the Rfam family "Selenocysteine insertion sequence 1". Lineage: Eukaryota; Metazoa; Chordata; Mammalia; Primates; Hominidae. The record is from RNAcentral.
GCUGGUUUCUCCGGAUGAAGUCAGUACCAGAGCCAUUGGCACUGUGCUGGUGGCCCUGCAGCAAGGCCUGAGGCCUGGGCAUGUGGAAGAUUCUGGAGUCCCGCGCUUAGCACUCUUUGAUGUCAGGGAGCCCCAGCAUUGGCAAGUGCCUCUUCCUUUCCCGCGUGCCAGGAACCAGUCUAAGGCCGACUCCAGUUUCCACGGGUGGCACCCCUGCCUUGUCUCCUGUGCCGGCUGUCAUCUGACCAGCGUCCGUUUCAGACCUGCCUGCCACCUCCUGCAGAGGCCAGGAGCCCCUCUACGCUGCUGGUGCUUCACGUUUGGCCAGUUCUAAGUGGACAUUCUUUUUUCUUGAGACAGUCUCACUCUGUCGCCCAGGCUGAAGUGCAGUGGUGUGAUCUUGGCUCACUGCAACCGACACCUCCCGGGUUCAAGCAAUUCUCAUGCCUCACCCUCCCAAGUAGCUGGGAUUACAGGUGCAUGCCACCACACCCAGCUAUUUUUGUAUUUUUAAUAGAGACAGGGUUUCUUUCUUUUCUUUUCUUUCUUUCUUUUUUUUUUUUGAGACAGAGUUUUGCUCUUGUUGCCCAGGCUGGAGCGCAAUGGUGGAAUCUUAGCUCACUGCAGCCUCCACCUCCUGGGUUCAAGCGAUUCAACCUCCCGAGUAGCUGGGACUAUAGGUGUGCACCACUACACCUAGGUAAUUUUGUAUUUUUAGUAGAGAUGGGGUUUCACCAUGUUGGCCAGGCUGGUUUUGAACUCCAGACCUCAGGUGAUCCACUUGCCUCGGCCUCCCAAAGUGUUGGGAUUACAGGCAUGAGCCAUCGUGCCUGGCUGAGACAGGGUUUCAUCAUGUUGGCCAGGCUGGUCUCGAACUCAUGACCUCAGGUGAUUUGCCCACCUCGUCCUCCUACAGUGCUGGGAUUACAGGCACGAGCCACUGCACCCGGUCUCUAAGUGGACAUUCUGAGAAAUAGUUUAAACACAACGGCUCUAGGUCAAAGCCACUGAAGAUGACCUUUCAGCCCCCUCUCUAUUUCCUUCAGGUCGAGUCCCAGACACCAGGAGUCUGAAUUUGGAGAAGGCUGGGGUAGAUACUAGCCCCGACACUCAGAAGAUCCUGGUGGACUCCCGGGAAGCCACCUCUGUGCCCCACAUCUACGCCGUUGGUGACGUGGUGGAGGGGCGGCCUGAGCUGACACCCACAGCGAUCAUGGCCGGGAGGCUCCUGGUGCAGCGGCUCUUCGGCGGGUCCUCAGAUCUGAUGGACUACGACAAUGUUCCCACGACCGUCUUCACCCCGCUGGAGUAUGGCUGUGUGGGGCUGUCCGAGGAGGAGGCAGUGGCUCACCACGGGCAGGAGCAUGUUGAGGUCUAUCACGCCCAUUAUAAACCACUGGAGUUCACGGUGGCUGGACGAGAUGCAUCCCAGUGUUAUGUAAAGAUGGUGUGCCUGAGGGAGCCCCCACAGCUGGUGCUGGGCCUGCAUUUCCUUGGCCCCAACGCAGGCGAAGUUACUCAAGGAUUUGCUCUGGGGAUCAAGUGUGGGGCCUCCUAUGCGCAGGUGAUGCGGACCGUGGGUAUCCAUCCCACAUGCUCUGAGGAGGUAGUCAAGCUGCGCAUCUCCAAGCGCUCAGGCCUGGACCCCACGGUGACAGGCUGCUGAGGGUAAGCGCCAUCCCUGCAGGCCAGGGCACACGGUGCGCCCGCCGCCAGCUCCUCGGAGGCCAGACCCAGGAUGGCUGCAGGCCAGGUUUGGGGGGCCUCAACCCUCUCCUGGAGCGCCUGUGAGAUGGUCAGCGUGGAGCGCAAGUGCUGGACAGGUGGCCCGUGUGCCCCACAGGGAUGGCUCAGGGGACUGUCCACCUCACCCCUGCACCUCUCAGCCUCUGCCGCCGGACACCCCCCCAGGCUCCUGGUGCCAGAUGAUGACGACCUGGGUGGAAACCUACCCUGUGGGCACCCAUGUCCGAGCCCCCUGGCAUUUCUGCAUUGCAAAUAAAGAGGGUACUUUUUCUGAA